Molecule: non-coding RNA, 316 nt
Organism: Vicia faba (fava bean)
Lineage: Eukaryota; Viridiplantae; Streptophyta; Magnoliopsida; Fabales; Fabaceae
Source: the annotation of a GenBank genome assembly
AUGGUAUGUUUUUUUCGUUACGGAUUUCCUGGAACAUAUCGUCGUAUUUUUCUCCGAGUUCGUAUGGAAGAUAUUCAGUCCCUCAUACUACAAGCUAACCCAGAACCUAGUAGUGGUGUCCUUUAUAUGCAAACCAGAGAACAGGGGACCAUUCCCUUGACUCCUGUUGAUGAUAGGACUCCAUGCAACGUUAUACAAAAAGCUUGGGACUUGUCCAGAUUCUUGAGUGUACCAAUGGAAAUCGUUCCAUAUUCUUGAGUAUACCAAUGGAAAUCGCUGUAUCCAAACAAUUUCAUUUUUAAUUCAUAGCUUUUGA